AGAGUUUGAUCAUGGCUCAGGAUGAACGCUGGCGGCGUGCUUAACACAUGCAAGUCGAACGGGGCUGUAUAACGGAAGUUUUCGGAUGGAGGAUAUGCAGCUUAGUGGCGGACGGGUGAGUAACGCGUGGGUAACCUGCCAUAUACAGGGGGAUAACACUUAGAAAUAGGUGCUAAAACCGCAUAAGCGCACAGCAUCGCAUGAUGCAGUGUGAAAAGCUCCGGUGGUAUAUGAUGGACCCGCGUCUGAUUAGCUGGUUGGCGGGGUAAGGGCCCACCAAGGCGACGAUCAGUAGCCGGCCUGAGAGGGUGAACGGCCACAUUGGGACUGAGACACGGCCCAAACUCCUACGGGAGGCAGCAGUGGGGAAUAUUGCACAAUGGGGGAAACCCUGAUGCAGCGACGCCGCGUGAGUGAAGAAGUAAUUCGUUAUGUAAAGCUCUAUCAGCAAGGAAGAAAAGAGACGGUACUUGAGUAAGAAGCCCCGGCUAACUACGUGCCAGCAGCCGCGGUAAUACGUAGGGGGCAAGCGUUAUCCGGAUUUACUGGGUGUAAAGGGAGCGUAGACGGCAAGGCAAGUCUGGAGUGAAAUUCCGGGGCUCAACCGCGGAACUGCCUUGGAAACUGUCUGGCUGGAGUGCAGGAGAGGUAAGUGGAAUUCCUAGUGUAGCGGUGAAAUGCGUAGAUAUUAGGAGGAACACCAGUGGCGAAGGCGGCUUACUGGACUGUAACUGACGUUGAGGCUCGAAAGCGUGGGGAGCAAACAGGAUUAGAUACCCCUGGUAGUCCACGCCGUAAAC
This 800-nucleotide ribosomal RNA is filed under the name uncultured bacterium. Its description in RNAcentral is "bacterial SSU rRNA". It matches the Rfam family "Bacterial small subunit ribosomal RNA", at positions 8 to 807 of the family's 1533-position model. The record is from RNAcentral.